UUGCUCACGUGCAAAGCCCACGCAACAACCUGGCAGAAUGUAAACUGAUGUUUGUGUGACGUGUUGAGUGCGAGCAAAACUGACGUCUCUCAGAGUGGAUCACUACCUAGACGCCAGCUGCGAGAUUUUCUGAGUGUUGAUUGUCAUCUGAUUGUGAGCUAACAUACAGUCCAAAGGCUCUUUUAAGAGCCACAAGCACUGAGGAUCUUUGGCUUUCCAACCUCAACCAAGAUGUCGGUUGAGCAGGAGAUGACAUUGCCUACCACACCACAGGUGAUCAUGCUAGGGAGUAGUCUGCUGUUUGCAACCUACUGGAUGGUCAGAAUUGAGGGGAAGGUCUUCUAUGAAGCUAACCAACUUCAUAACUUUGCCAGUGCUUUCGCUGUCUUUUUCGGCUCCUUUUAUGUGUUCAAUCCGGAGUAUCAGGAGCCAGCAUCCACUACGCUGGAGACGGUACAGAGAAAGGAAUUGAUGCCACCUGACACCAGUGAUCUGCUGUGAUUGGUGGAGUAGAAGUUUGGAACUGUUUCUGAAGUGUAUUUUUAUUGUGAUUUUUUUUAUUUUAUUUGUUUUUUUU
Molecule: long non-coding RNA, 577 nt
Organism: Carassius auratus (goldfish)
Lineage: Eukaryota; Metazoa; Chordata; Actinopteri; Cypriniformes; Cyprinidae
Exons: 6
Source: RefSeq, a predicted model, not a curated record